This is an RNA transcript of Drosophila albomicans, 2390 nucleotides long. It is a transcript of the gene named diuretic hormone receptor, with no coding region annotated. The record is from RefSeq and is a predicted model, not a curated record. Lineage: Eukaryota; Metazoa; Arthropoda; Insecta; Diptera; Drosophilidae. The transcript is spliced from 13 exons.
CAUUUGCCGUUAUUAGACGUGAAUUUAGCACGACGCCGUCGGGUUUUGAUUCAUUAUCUCUACAGCGAGAGAUACGUCGUUUCGUUGUCGUGUGUGUUGUCGCAGCCUCCGCAAUCUUAAUAAAUUUAUAGAAUCUAAAUAACCGCAGCAAUAAUAACAACAACAACAACAACAACAGCAACAUCAACAAUAUCAAACAACAACAAGAGGAAAAGGAACAACAGCAAACAAAUUGAGACAUUGCCGAAGGCCAUUUGAUUAUUUGUAUUUGGAAAAUUCGUUACUUUAGCUUGUCAGCAUACACAUAUUUGCGCAAUUUGUGUCUUGUGUCUGAGGUGAUCCGUUUAAUUGCGCAGCGCAUCGUGUCGCUCGUCGCGUCGCGUCGCUUCGCAGAGGGAAUGCGAAAGUGUGUCUCGAGUUCAGCGGCAGCCGUAGCCUGUCCACACUCCACAGCUCACACACAGAUGACGUCCCGUUGACAUGUGCCCCGUUGGCCAUACACGACGAGCGAAGAGUGCGAGACCGAGUGCAAGUGCGAGGAAGUGUGCCAUAAAAAGUGCGUCGUUUACUUGGAAGGAAGAAGAACAGCAGCAAAUGUGCAACGCAUCAAUGCAACAUUGUGACACACAACAUUACAUGAUAACAGGCUGAAAGAGAAUAAUCAAACAGCACACACACAGAGACACACAUACACAAGUUAAUUACUACAACGUUACAACAUUCCUUUGGCAAAUGGCUGACGACGAUUUGCGGGCUUUGGUAGAGAUGCUGGAUGAGAAUCCAGCUGAGAAUAGUGCCAAUAUAUUUGCCAACUUCUCGUUGGACAUGCUGCAGCGAGCCAGCGCACUAAUUGGCGCCCAGCAGCCAUCGCACAGCGGUGAUCCCCUCCUACUACCCCCCAUCAAUCGCACCCUCGAAGAGCAGUGCAAGCAUCAGGCAGACAAAGUCUCCGACUCACAGCACAGCACGACUUUGUACUGUCCCGCGUCAUUCGACUCGGUUCUCUGCUGGCCCCGCACAAAUGCUGGCACCUGGGCAAUCCUGCCCUGCUUCGAGGAGUUCAAGGGUGUUCACUAUGACACAACAGAGAAUGCAACGCGAUUCUGUCAUGCGAAUGGCACUUGGAAUCAUUAUUCCAAUUACUCCAGAUGCUCAGUGCCCGUGGUUCCUGAAUUUUCGGCCAGUGUCGAUCUACCAUCGAAUAUCUAUGUUGGCGGUUACUUUAUAAGUUUUGCCACAUUGGUGGUGGCUCUCAUUAUAUUCCUAAGCUUCAAAGAUUUGCGCUGUUUGCGUAACACAAUUCAUGCGAAUCUGUUCCUAACCUACAUCACCUCUGCACUCUUGUGGAUUCUCACGUUCUUUCUGCAAGUGAUAACCACCGGAUCUAGUCAUGCUGGCUGCAUUACGCUGGUCAUUAUGUUUCAGUACUUUUAUCUGACUAACUUUUUCUGGAUGUUCGUGGAGGGCCUCUAUCUCUAUACUCUUGUGGUGCAAACAUUCUCCAGCGAGAACAUUAGCUUUCUUAUCUACGCCUUGAUUGGCUGGGGCUGUCCCGCUGUCUGUAUAUUGGUGUGGUCCAUUGCCAAAGUAUUUGCGCCGCAUCGAGAGAAUGAGCAUUUCAAUGGCCUGGAAAUUGAAUGCAGUUGGAUGCUUGAAUCUCAAAUUGAUUGGAUAUUCAAGGGGCCCACCGUAUUUGCGAUACUAACUAAUUUAGUUUUCUUGAUACGCAUCAUGUGGGUAUUGAUUACCAAAUUGCGUUCGGCUCAUACGCUUGAGACGCGGCAGUAUUACAAAGCAUCCAAGGCGCUAUUGGUGCUAAUACCGCUCUUUGGCAUUACGUAUCUGCUGGUCUUAACCGGGCCCGAACAGGGUAUCAGUCGGAAUCUCUUCGAGGCCAUGCGCGCCUUUCUGCUUAGCACACAGGGCUUCUUUGUGGCAUUGUUCUAUUGUUUUCUGAACUCGGAAGUGCGACAGACGUUGCGGCAUCGUUUCAUUAGAUGGCGGGAGAAUCGGAGUAUACAUCGAAGCAGUUCAUUAAAGAAUCGUAGACAUCGCGCAUCCAAAGACUACUCGCAACGCUCGCGUACUGAAAGUCUACGGUUGACCUCAACAAGUCCCGUGCCAACUGGACACUAUGAAUGAUUAUUAUAGUUUUAGAAAAUACCACCGAGAUUUACGUUUUUUUAUACAUACCUACAUGUUAAACAUACCGUUUUGUAUAUAAGUAUUGCAUACACUAUUAAAUACCGAGGAAUGUGUCAUCUGCUUACGUCCAUCACCGCAUACACGACUGGGAUCAUUGAAACGUUAUCACAGCAUUGAUUUAACCGACUUUGUGUAAUAGACUACUAAAAAAAAAACCCAACCCAAAGGCCAAUUGAAAAGCGUUG